Molecule: ribosomal RNA, 637 nt
Filed under: Cephalonomia sp. NZAC04033225A
Lineage: Eukaryota; Metazoa; Arthropoda; Insecta; Hymenoptera; Bethylidae
Description: eukaryotic LSU rRNA
Rfam family: Eukaryotic large subunit ribosomal RNA
Source: RNAcentral
AAACCGUUCAGGUGUAAACCUGAGGAACCCAAAAGUUCGAAUGGGGAGAUUCAUCGUCAGCGAAGCAGGCUUCACGGUGGCACGUGAUGCCACGGGACCUCGGUCUCGCGGUACGCGUUCAUCGCGCAUGACCUGCGACGUCGGCGCGCACUUCUCCCCUAGUAGGACGUCGCGACCCGUUGGGUGCCGGUCUAAGGCCUGGGUGGUAGCCUGUCUCGUCGCUUCGGCGCAUCGAGGCAGACCCCCGGUUCGCCAGACGCCGGCUGCCCGGCGGUACUCCCAUGGUAUCGGGCCGCAAGAUCGAACUGCGUCGGACCCGUCGCAAGCGCGAUCAGUGUUACACGGAUGCACGGACCACGUGCCGUCACCCGUGCCUGGUCAGCUGUUGGCAUAGGCGGUGUUCUCCGACUGGCCAUAAUCGAACGAGCGAUACCGGUCAGCGACGCUACUGCUUUGGGUAAUCUCAGGACCCGUCUUGAAACACGGACCAAGGAGUCUAACAUGUGCGCGAGUCAUUGGGACCGCAUGCCUAAAGGCGAAAUGAAAGUGAAGGUCGGCCUUACCGCCGACCGAGGGAGGAUGGGCCGCGUCAAGAUGCGGCUCCGCACUCCCGGGGCGUCUCGUUCUCAUGCGAGAA